This 271-nucleotide small RNA is filed under the name Choloepus hoffmanni (Hoffmann's two-fingered sloth). RNAcentral's name for it is "7SK RNA (ENSCHOG00000015653.1)". It matches the Rfam family "7SK RNA". From Rfam's summary of the family: 7SK was discovered as an abundant small nuclear RNA in the mid-70s but a possible function has only recently been suggested. Two independent studies have found that 7SK RNA binds the CDK9/cyclin T complex (known as elongation factor P-TEFb). Lineage: Eukaryota; Metazoa; Chordata; Mammalia; Pilosa; Megalonychidae. The record is from RNAcentral.
GUCUUAGAGGUAUUUAGCUAUGGCAUCUCUCACUCUAUUGAUGGUCAAGUUGGAUUUAGCUGAUCUGGCUGGCUGGGUGGUAAUCUCCUUCCUUCUCUCCUCACUGGUUCUUGUGCAUCCCUCCUAAAGUUUCAGUGUCAGAAGAUGACCUCAUUUUAGAGGACUAUUCUCUGGUAAGGGAUGUGUGAGGCUGCACUCACAAGAUGUGAAACAAGCUUGAUUUCUAGCCUUUCACAAGUAAUGUGGGAAUUCAGUUACAAAACAGUAAUUU